This is a transfer RNA of Puccinia graminis f. sp. tritici, 105 nucleotides long. It matches the Rfam family "tRNA". From Rfam's summary of the family: Transfer RNA (tRNA) molecules are approximately 80 nucleotides in length. Their secondary structure includes four short double-helical elements and three loops (D, anti-codon, and T loops). The record is from Rfam. Lineage: Eukaryota; Fungi; Basidiomycota; Pucciniomycetes; Pucciniales; Pucciniaceae.
GGUCGAUUAGCUUAGUCGGUAGAGCGUGGUACUAAUAGUCCAAUCUGGUCUUCUCCUCAUUGGAUUGACAUGCCAAGGUCAUGGGUUCGAUCCCCAUAUUGACCA